AACGGCGAGUGAAGCGGCAAGAGCUCAAAUUUGAAAUCUGGCCUCCCCCGGGGGCCCGAGUUGUAAUUUGCAGAGGAUGCUUCGGGUGCGGCCGCCGUCUAAGUUCCUUGGAACAGGACGUCAGAGAGGGUGAGAAUCCCGUCUUGGGCGGGCGGUCCGCGCCCGUGUGAAGCUCCUUCGACGAGUCGAGUUGUUUGGGAAUGCAGCUCUAAGCGGGUGGUAAAUUUCAUCUAAAGCUAAAUAUUGGCCGGAGACCGAUAGCGCACAAGUAGAGUGAUCGAAAGGUUAAAAGCACCUUGAAAAGGGAGUUAAACAGCACGUGAAAUUGUUGAAAGGGAAGCGCUUGCGGCCAGAUUCGGGGGCGGGGUUCAGCGGGUGCUCGUCGCCCGUGUAUUCCUCGUCUCCCGGGCCAGCAUCAGUUUCGACGGCCGGUCAAAGGCCCCCGGAAUGUGUCGUCUCUCGGGACGUCUUAUAGCCGGGGGUGCAAUGCGGCCCGUCGGGACUGAGGAACGCGCUCCGGCUCGGAUGCUGGCGUAAUGGCCGUAAGCGGCCCGUCUUGAAACACGGACCAAGGAGUCUAACAUCCACGCGAGUGUUCGGGUGUCAAACCCGUGCGCGCAGUGAAAGCGAACGGAGGUGGGAGCCYUAGGGCGCACCAUCGACCGAUCCUGAAGUCUUCGGAUGGAUUUGAGUAGGAGCGUGGCCGUUGGGACCCGAAAGAUGGUGAACUAUGCCUGAAUAGGGUGRAGCCRGAGGAAACUCUGGUGGAGGCUCGCAGCGGUUCUGACGUGCAAAUCGAUCGUCAAAUUU
RNAcentral lists this ribosomal RNA (810 nucleotides) under Paraphyton cookei. RNAcentral's name for it is "eukaryotic LSU rRNA". It matches the Rfam family "Eukaryotic large subunit ribosomal RNA", at positions 85 to 912 of the family's 3401-position model. The record is from RNAcentral. Lineage: Eukaryota; Fungi; Ascomycota; Eurotiomycetes; Onygenales; Arthrodermataceae.